AACUACACUAUCAACGAAUGAAUCCACCCACAAGAUGAUGUGGCUGUUUAUCUACAUAUAUUUAGAAUGCGGAUAUGGCAUCGUGAUGUUCCACCUCAGAUGAAGCACUCAAGUUUGCAUCCUAGGUGUAACAACUAAGUCAUCUUGCAGGUGGAUCCGUUCCCUAGUAGUGUAGUU
This 177-nucleotide microRNA precursor is filed under the name Oryza punctata. RNAcentral's name for it is "pre miRNA MIR807". The record is from RNAcentral. Lineage: Eukaryota; Viridiplantae; Streptophyta; Magnoliopsida; Poales; Poaceae.